GUUCACAGCCCAACCCCUGUGCACGGCUGCUCUCAUCUGAUCUCUGAUGCGACGCAGGGUUGGACCUGGUUAGCACUGGAUAGGGGACCACCCGGGAAUGUCAGGUGCUGGGCU
RNAcentral lists this ribosomal RNA (114 nucleotides) under Amphilophus citrinellus (Midas cichlid). Lineage: Eukaryota; Metazoa; Chordata; Actinopteri; Cichliformes; Cichlidae. The record is from RNAcentral.